CAGCUCUCCGAGUAGUGUGGACGUUUAUUGGGCCUAAAGCAUCCGUAGCUUGCUAGAUAAGGCCUCUGUUAAAUCCACCGAUUCAAUCGUUGGAUUGCGGGGGAUACUGUUUGGCUAGGGGACGGGAGAGGUCGACGGUAUUUCCGGGGUAGGGGUGAAAUCCUAUAAUCCCGGGAGGACCACCAGUGGCGAAGGCUGUCGACUAGAACGCGCCCGACGGUGAGGGAUGAAAGCUGGGGGAGCGAACCGGAUUAGAUACCCGAGUAGUCC
Molecule: ribosomal RNA, 270 nt
Filed under: uncultured archaeon
Lineage: Archaea
Description: partial 16S ribosomal RNA
Rfam family: Archaeal small subunit ribosomal RNA
Source: RNAcentral